Molecule: ribosomal RNA, 468 nt
Filed under: uncultured bacterium
Lineage: Bacteria
Description: partial 16S ribosomal RNA
Rfam family: Bacterial small subunit ribosomal RNA
Source: RNAcentral
GACGAACGCUGGCGGCGUGCUUAACACAUGCAAGUCGAACGGAAAGGCCCUGCUUUUGUGGGGUGCUCGAGUGGCGAACGGGUGAGUAACACGUGAGUAACCUGCCCUUGACUUUGGGAUAACUUCAGGAGACUGGGGCUAAUACCGGAUAGGAGCUCCUGCUGCAUGGUGGGGGUUGGAAAGUUUCGGCGGUUGGGGAUGGACUCGCGGCUUAUCAGCUUGUUGGUGGGGUAGUGGUUUACCAAGGCUUUGACGGGUAGCCGGCCUGAGAGGGUGACCGGCCACAUUGGGACUGAGAUACGGCCCAGACUCCUACGGGAGGCAGCAGUGGGGAAUAUUGCACAAUGGGCGGAAGCCUGAUGCAGCAACGCCGCGUGCGGGAUGACGGCCUUCGGGUUGUAAACCGCUUUCGCCUGUGACGAAGCGUGAGUGACGGUAAUGGGUAAAGAAGCACCGGCUAACUACGUG